This 94-nucleotide transfer RNA is filed under the name Aureobasidium pullulans EXF-150. It matches the Rfam family "tRNA". From Rfam's summary of the family: Transfer RNA (tRNA) molecules are approximately 80 nucleotides in length. Their secondary structure includes four short double-helical elements and three loops (D, anti-codon, and T loops). Further hydrogen bonds mediate the characteristic L-shaped molecular structure. tRNAs have two regions of fundamental functional importance: the anti-codon, which is responsible for specific mRNA codon recognition, and the 3' end, to which the tRNAs corresponding amino acid is attached (by aminoacyl-tRNA synthetases). tRNAs cope with the degeneracy of the genetic code in two manners: having more than one tRNA (with a specific anti-codon) for a particular amino acid; and 'wobble' base-pairing, i.e. permitting non-standard base-pairing at the 3rd anti-codon position. The record is from Rfam by way of RNAcentral. Lineage: Eukaryota; Fungi; Ascomycota; Dothideomycetes; Dothideales; Saccotheciaceae.
GGUUGCGUGGCCGAGUGGUCUUAAGGCGCUAGCUUUAGGUUCUUUCCUGAAUCGCUAGUGGGAAACCGCGCGAGUUCGAAUCUCGCCGCAAUCA